This 686-nucleotide ribosomal RNA is filed under the name Streptomyces sp. 816_1. RNAcentral's name for it is "bacterial SSU rRNA". It matches the Rfam family "Bacterial small subunit ribosomal RNA", at positions 98 to 797 of the family's 1533-position model. Lineage: Bacteria; Bacillati; Actinomycetota; Actinomycetes; Kitasatosporales; Streptomycetaceae. The record is from RNAcentral.
GCGAACGGGUGAGUAACACGUGGGCAAUCUGCCCUUCACUCUGGGACAAGCCCUGGAAACGGGGUCUAAUACCGGAUACUGACCCUUGCAGGCAUCUGCGAGGUUCGAAAGCUCCGGCGGUGAAGGAUGAGCCCGCGGCCUAUCAGCUUGUUGGUGAGGUAAUGGCUCACCAAGGCGACGACGGGUAGCCGGCCUGAGAGGGCGACCGGCCACACUGGGACUGAGACACGGCCCAGACUCCUACGGGAGGCAGCAGUGGGGAAUAUUGCACAAUGGGCGAAAGCCUGAUGCAGCGACGCCGCGUGAGGGAUGACGGCCUUCGGGUUGUAAACCUCUUUCAGCAGGGAAGAAGCGAAAGUGACGGUACCUGCAGAAGAAGCGCCGGCUAACUACGUGCCAGCAGCCGCGGUAAUACGUAGGGCGCAAGCGUUGUCCGGAAUUAUUGGGCGUAAAGAGCUCGUAGGCGGCUUGUCACGUCGGUUGUGAAAGCCCGGGGCUUAACCCCGGGUCUGCAGUCGAUACGGGCAGGCUAGAGUUCGGUAGGGGAGAUCGGAAUUCCUGGUGUAGCGGUGAAAUGCGCAGAUAUCAGGAGGAACACCGGUGGCGAAGGCGGAUCUCUGGGCCGAUACUGACGCUGAGGAGCGAAAGCGUGGGGAGCGAACAGGAUUAGAUACCCUGGUAGUCCA